This 813-nucleotide ribosomal RNA is filed under the name uncultured bacterium. RNAcentral describes it as "bacterial SSU rRNA". It matches the Rfam family "Bacterial small subunit ribosomal RNA", at positions 1 to 814 of the family's 1533-position model. The record is from RNAcentral.
AUUCGCCCUUAGAGUUUGAUCCUGGCUCAGGACGAACGCUGGCGGCGUGCCUAACACAUGCAAGUCGAGCGGAGAUUAUGGAAGAGCUUGCUCGGAAAUAAUCUUAGCGGCGGACGGGUGAGUAACGCGUGAGCAACCUGCCUUUCACAGGGGGAUAACGCAGCGAAAGUUGUGCUAAUACCGCAUAAGACCACGGGAGGACAUCCUCCAGGGGUCAAAGGAGCAAUCCGGUGAAAGAUGGGCUCGCGUCUGAUUAGCUAGUUGGUGAGGUAACGGCCCACCAAGGCGACGAUCAGUAGCCGACCUGAGAGGGUGAUCGGCCACAUUGGAACUGAGAGACGGUCCAAACUCCUACGGGAGGCAGCAGUGGGGAAUAUUGGGCAAUGGGGGGGAACCCUGACCCAGCAACGCCGCGUGAAGGAAGAAGGUUUUCGGAUUGUAAACUUCUGUCCUAUGAGACGAAGGAAGUGACGGUAUCAUAGGAGGAAGCCCCGGCUAACUACGUGCCAGCAGCCGCGGUAAUACGUAGGGGGCAAGCGUUGUCCGGAAUGAUUGGGCGUAAAGGGCGCGUAGGCGGCCUGAUAAGUCUGAAGUGAAAGUCCUGCUUUCAAGGUGGGAAUUGCUUUGGAUACUGUCGGGCUCGAGUGCAGGAGAGGUAAGCGGAAUUCCCGGUGUAGCGGUGAAAUGCGUAGAGAUCGGGAGGAACACCAGUGGCGAAGGCGGCUUACUGGACUGUAACUGACGCUGAGGCGCGAAAGCGUGGGGAGCAAACAGGAUUAGAUACCCUGGUAGUCCACGCGGUAAACGAUGAAU